UGCCUAUGACGGGCUGCUUCAAGGAUGGAUGAGACACGGGAAAAUUUGUGUGAUGCCUUUCUGUGCUUAUUGUCUUUCUUUCAUACCAUUGCCUCGGAGCUUGAACAUCGAUGCUACCUCAGAAUCUUUGACUUUGGACCUUCAAUCACUUGGGAUUGAGACUCAUUCGCCCCUUGAGAGUUGCACACCAUCAACACUGAAUCUCUUAGUAUCUGCGCACUUGGGAUGUGCUUUCCCCAGUCAGUCGCCAAAUACGAAACGUACGGGAGUGUGUAGACAUUCUUUGGAUGAUGUUAGUGCAGAGGUCAUGAAGGGAACCGCC
This 322-nucleotide long non-coding RNA is filed under the name Selaginella moellendorffii. Its description in RNAcentral is "long non-coding RNA (SMOE_LNC002457)". The record is from RNAcentral. Lineage: Eukaryota; Viridiplantae; Streptophyta; Lycopodiopsida; Selaginellales; Selaginellaceae.